AUUGAACGCUGGCGGCAGGCCUAACACAUGCAAGUCGAGCGGAGCGGCUGACGGGUGAGUAAUUCCUAUGAAUCUGCCUGCUAGUUGGGGAUAACGUCCGGCAACGGGCGCUAAUACAUCAUACUAUCAUCUGAGCCUAGUUCGGAGUAGCUAGUUGUUGGGGUAAAGGCCUACCAAGGCGACGAUCCGUAACUGGUCUGAGAGGAUGAUCAGUCACACUGGAACUGAGACACGGUCCAGACUCCUACGGGAGGCAGCAGUGGGGAAUAUUGGACAAUGGGCGAAAGCCUGAUGCAGCCAUGCCGCGUGUGUGAAGAAGGUCUUCGGAUUGUAAAGCACUUUAAGUUGGGAGGCGUUACCAACAGAAUAAGCACCGGCUAACUUCGUGCCAGCAGCCGCGGUAAUAC
RNAcentral lists this ribosomal RNA (407 nucleotides) under uncultured bacterium. Its description in RNAcentral is "partial 16S ribosomal RNA". It matches the Rfam family "Bacterial small subunit ribosomal RNA", at positions 30 to 526 of the family's 1533-position model. The record is from RNAcentral.